GUUAGGUACCCAAGUCUUUGCUUUUUGUAUUUAACACUGUAUUUAACAACAUUGAAUCUGAAACCAGAAUCCUGCCACCUACUGCUCAUGGAAAUUCCAGAUGUGUUGCGUGCACGGCGGUCUCAACCCUAAAAACCUUAAAAACCUCAAAAACCUCAUCAAAGCUCUCCGGGACUGGUCAGCUCUGCACAGGCUGGAAAAAAUAUCUGUGAGCCAUCUCAAUUGCCCUACUGGGACCUUGAGCUGAUGUAACGAUGUCUGUGGCAGUGCUGGCUUUCUUGGAGAACAAAGUGCUGUUUCCUUUUGUGUGCUGAACAAACAAACAGUGUGUGGGAAUUGGUCCCUACAGAAAUACUUUUUUUUUUUUUAAAUAUCCAAGUAACUUUUUUUCAGAACACUGACCUGUUUAUUGCUUGGGAAUGCCUGUGACUGCCUUCUGAAACUCAAAAGCUGCAGAGGUGUCCAUGGCAAGAAUAGAAGACUAUUGCAAUAAUACUAGGGAUGGUUCUGCAGUUAAAAUUAAGCACAGAAGUGUCUGAAAACUGUCAGUCUGCCUAGUGCCAGAAUUCAUUAUGAAUUUGGUUUUUAAUAUAGUUUAGGCUAGAAAUCAUCCUAAUUAUCUUUUCUCCUUUAAUUAAAUAAGAAGUCUGCCAUUAGCCUCUGCUUCCCAUAACUCAUGUUUUGGAUUGAGCUUCUCAUGCCUGGGAAAUGGGAGAACUGGAGAGAAACUGGGGAGAGAGACAAAGACAAGACUCUGAAGGCAGGCUGUCACGCAGGAACCAGGAGAAGGUAUAUUCUGUCCCUCCCAUCCUGUGGGGAUCCCAGAUGGCUGCUGUGUCAGCUGAAGUCACUCUCUGCUCUGUAACCUCUUCCUGAAGACUAGAGGAUACAGGUUCAACAGCCGGAAGCCUUCUGGGAAACUGCUUGAGAAUCAGCAGGUACCCAGGAGGUGCAAGAGGCUUUUCUUUGUAUUUAAAGUAAUACAUUUAAAGUGUAAAGUUUUCUAUCUUCCUCUAAAUUAAAGCCACUUUCUGUUUAAACAUUUACAACUCUUUCGAGCACAUACCUCUGCCACAUACAAAUGCAUUUGUCCUAGAAAUCCUUGGAAAUACAGAAUAGUCUGUGUUUUCCAUAAGCCUUCAGAAAAUCAACUGUUCCAAGGGCUUAACGCUGGAGUAAUUUAACAGCCGUGUUGCAAAAAUGGCAAGGUAAGCAGCCCAGCAGAAGAUACAGUAGCCAAAACUCUUAUCUCAGGACCCAUUGCUCAGAGAAUUGCAUCAACUUCCCCCGGUAAAUAAUGAGUCUUAUUUAUAAAUUCAC
This 1320-nucleotide long non-coding RNA is filed under the name Manacus vitellinus (golden-collared manakin). RNAcentral's name for it is "lncRNA (ENSMVIG00005000770.1)". The record is from RNAcentral. Lineage: Eukaryota; Metazoa; Chordata; Aves; Passeriformes; Pipridae.